AGUCGAGCGAACAGACAAGGAGCUUGCUCCUUUGACGUUAGCGGCGGACGGGUGAGUAACACGUGGGUAACCUACCUAUAAGACUGGGAUAACUUCGGGAAACCGGAGCUAAUACCGGAUAAUAUUUCGAACCGCAUGGUUCGAUAGUGAAAGAUGGUUUUGCUAUCACUUAUAGAUGGACCCGCGCCGUAUUAGCUAGUUGGUAAGGUAACGGCUUACCAAGGCGACGAUACGUAGCCGACCUGAGAGGGUGAUCGGCCACACUGGAACUGAGACACGGUCCAGACUCCUACGGGAGGCAGCAGUAGGGAAUCUUCCGCAAUGGGCGAAAGCCUGACGGAGCAACGCCGCGUGAGUGAUGAAGGUCUUCGGAUCGUAAAACUCUGUUAUUAGGGAAGAACAUACGUGUAAGUAACUAUGCACGUCUUGACGGUACCUAAUCAGAAAGCCACGGCUAACUACGUGCCAGCAGCCGCGGUAAUACGUAGGUGGCAAGCGUUAUCCGGAAUUAUUGGGCGUAAAGCGCGCGUAGGCGGUUUUUUAAGUCUGAUGUGAAAGCCCACGGCUCAACCGUGGAGGGUCAUUGGAAACUGGAAAACUUGAGUGCAGAAGAGGAAAGUGGAAUUCCAUGUGUAGCGGUG
This 641-nucleotide ribosomal RNA is filed under the name Staphylococcus aureus. RNAcentral's name for it is "bacterial SSU rRNA". It matches the Rfam family "Bacterial small subunit ribosomal RNA", at positions 60 to 683 of the family's 1533-position model. The record is from RNAcentral. Lineage: Bacteria; Bacillati; Bacillota; Bacilli; Caryophanales; Staphylococcaceae.